RNAcentral lists this ribosomal RNA (90 nucleotides) under Staphylococcus simiae. Its description in RNAcentral is "partial 23S ribosomal RNA". It matches the Rfam family "Bacterial large subunit ribosomal RNA", at positions 1 to 89 of the family's 2925-position model. The record is from RNAcentral. Lineage: Bacteria; Bacillati; Bacillota; Bacilli; Caryophanales; Staphylococcaceae.
AGAUUAAGUUAUUAAGGGCGCACGGUGGAUGCCUUGGCACUAGAAGCCGAUGAAGGACGUUACUAACGACGAUAUGCUUUGGGUAGCUGU